This 214-nucleotide small nucleolar RNA is filed under the name Amphibalanus amphitrite. RNAcentral describes it as "small nucleolar RNA U3". It matches the Rfam family "Small nucleolar RNA U3". Rfam says of the family: Small nucleolar RNAs (snoRNAs) are involved in the processing and modification of rRNA in the nucleolus. There are two main classes of snoRNAs: the box C/D class, and the box H/ACA class. Lineage: Eukaryota; Metazoa; Arthropoda; Thecostraca; Balanomorpha; Balanidae. The record is from RNAcentral.
AAGACCUUACUUCUACAGGAUCAUUUCUAUAGGUCUUAUCGCGAUCAUUCAUCUCGAAUUUUCGCGUGUCUCAAACCAUGAUGAAGAGUCGUGGUGGUUUCUCUUGAGCGGGAAGUGGUCAGGUGACCCUCCUUGCUGAGGGUCUUCUGACGUUGAAGACCGUUCCACUUUCCGCUUUGGCGGAUUGUGGGGGAGAGACCACGUUCUGAGUGGU